UCGAGAAUUUUUCACAAUGGACGAAAGUCUGAUGGAGCGACGCCGCGUGGAGGAUGAAGGUUUUCGGAUUGUAAACUCCUGUCACUGCAGAACAAGGCAGUGCGUAUGAAUAGUACGCGCUGUUGAUGGUAUGCGGAGAGGAAGGGACGGCUAACUCUGUGCCAGCAGCCGCGGUAAGACAGAGGUCCCGAGCGUUGUUCGGAUUCAUUGGGCGUAAAGGGUGUGUAGGAGGUCGGGUCAGUCAGGUGUGAAAUCUCAGAGCUUAACUCUGAAACUGCGCUUGAUACUGCUCGGCUAGAGGAUCGGAGGGGGUAUCGGAAUUUAUGGUGUAGCAGUGAAAUGCGUAGAUAUCAUAAGGAACACCGGUGGCGAAGGCGGAUACCUGGAAGAUUCCUGACUCUGAAACACGAAAGCCAGGGGAGCAAACGGGAUUAGAUACCCCUGUAGUCC
RNAcentral lists this ribosomal RNA (450 nucleotides) under uncultured bacterium. RNAcentral's name for it is "bacterial SSU rRNA". It matches the Rfam family "Bacterial small subunit ribosomal RNA", at positions 355 to 796 of the family's 1533-position model. The record is from RNAcentral.